GGAGGCGUCCGUGCUCUGGUGGGCUCCGCGGUCUUCAACACCGACGAGACCAGGUCGCCUGGUCUGGCGGGUUCGAUUCCCGUCCGCCUCCGCCA
RNAcentral lists this transfer RNA (95 nucleotides) under Actinomycetales bacterium. RNAcentral's name for it is "tRNA-Sec". It matches the Rfam family "Selenocysteine transfer RNA". The record is from RNAcentral. Lineage: Bacteria; Bacillati; Actinomycetota; Actinomycetes; Actinomycetales.